GCAUAUCAAUAAGCGGAGGAAAAGAAACCAACAGGGAUUGCCUCAGUAACGGCGAGUGAAGCGGCAACAGCUCAAAUUUGAAAUCUGGCUUCGGCCCGAGUUGUAAUUUGCAGAGGAAGCUUUAGGCGCGGCACCAUCUGAGUCCCCUGGAACGGGGCGCCACAGAGGGUGAGAGCCCCGUAUAGAUGGACGCCUAACCUGUGUAAAGCUCCUUCGACGAGUCGAGUAGUUUGGGAAUGCUGCUCAAAAUGGGAGGUAAAUUUCUUCUAAAGCUAAAUACCGGCCAGAGACCGAUAGCGCACAAGUAGAGUGAUCGAAAGAUGAAAAGCACUUUGAAAAGAGGGUUAAAUAGCACGUGAAAUUGUUGAAAGGGAAGCGCUUGUGACCAGACUUGCGCCGGGCGGAUCAUCCGGUGUUCUCACCGGUGCACUCCGCCCGGCUCAGGCCAGCAUCGGUUCUCGUGGGGGGAUAAAGGCACCGGGAACGUAGCUCCUCCGGGAGUGUUAUAGCCCGGGGCGUAAUGCCCUCGCGGGGACCGAGGACCGCGCAUCUGCAAGGAUG
Molecule: ribosomal RNA, 561 nt
Filed under: Botryotrichum piluliferum
Lineage: Eukaryota; Fungi; Ascomycota; Sordariomycetes; Sordariales; Chaetomiaceae
Description: eukaryotic LSU rRNA
Rfam family: Eukaryotic large subunit ribosomal RNA
Source: RNAcentral